This 225-nucleotide long non-coding RNA is filed under the name Cricetulus griseus (Chinese hamster). RNAcentral describes it as "lncRNA (ENSCGRG00000026025.1)". The record is from RNAcentral. Lineage: Eukaryota; Metazoa; Chordata; Mammalia; Rodentia; Cricetidae.
CUUUGACAUUCCAGGCUUAUUGCUUGUAGAAGCCUGCCAAGUCACUAAGCACACAGGACUGCUCAUGGAAGAGUGUUUGCUUCAAUAUUUAGCAUCAUAUUUUCAAAUGGACCAGAAGGGACAGAUGGAGAACACAAGCAACUUGGCAGGGUUUUAUGUUCCAUUCUGUCAUACCACAUGUGGAAAAUGAGUGAACCAACAUCAACAUGCUCAGGUCUAGAAAGU